AAAAAAAGUAAACAAGUUAAGAAUUCAUUCAAUUUAAAACUUUUCCACUCAUUUGAUGAGGGUGCCGCUUCAGAAUUGAUUUUCUGAUAUAUAAUUCUUUAGAUUAUUAGGCCGAUAAGUACAAAAUUAAUACAAGAUUUUGUGUUAUACUCCAAAACUUGCCACUUAGUACCGGAAAAUUUUGAGGUCGAUCGUCCUCUGUCGCCCCAUUCUCACGAUAUUGAACUGUUUUUCAUUAUUUUUCCAGACACGUUUUUAGAUUAUUAGAGUGUGGCAUCAUAUUUACUGAAAUUUGUUGUCAAAAAGAUGUUUUUUAAAGAAUACGGACAAAAACAUUGUUUGUUUAUUGUACGGC
This 355-nucleotide long non-coding RNA is filed under the name Mytilus galloprovincialis (Mediterranean mussel). Lineage: Eukaryota; Metazoa; Mollusca; Bivalvia; Mytilida; Mytilidae. The record is from RNAcentral.